This 2809-nucleotide ribosomal RNA is filed under the name Triticum aestivum (bread wheat). RNAcentral's name for it is "partial small subunit ribosomal RNA". The record is from RNAcentral. Lineage: Eukaryota; Viridiplantae; Streptophyta; Magnoliopsida; Poales; Poaceae.
GGUGCUUGUUUGGGUGUCAUCAACGAGUUUUUUUUUUUGCUUGUUUGGGUGUCAUUAUCUUUCAGUUCGAAGGAACCGGCAGUUCUUCUGCAGCGGCAGCUUGCGCAGUCGAAACGUAGGUGGUCUCUUAUAUAUACAUUACGUUGGGCGCUGGUUAGCCUGUUCGCGACUUUCCUUCUUUAUGUGCGUGUGUCUUUGUGGUGAGGCGCAAGAUAUAGCCGGCCGCGCCGCUACAGCAGCCCCUUCCCCCUCCGCUUCCACGGCCACCGCCCCGCCGCCUUGCACGACCACUGCUCGCGCGACGGCAUGCACUUGUUGCACGGCGUGGACCCGUUGUAGUAGCCGACGCACGAGUCGCGGCUGCAGAAGCGCGCGAUGACGGCGGAGGCGCCGGUGUUGCACGAGAUGCAGACGCCGUGGCUGCUCAUGCCGUGGCGGUGGCUCUUGUUCCGGUAGCUCCUCCCGACGAGGGGAGACCUCUAGACGCUGUUCAUGGUACGUUAGGUGUUCCUUCACAUGCUCACCAAGUUGUAGUCGAAGCUGGUGAAGCCGGCCUGUAGGUGGGGCGUCGUCUGUCUCUAGACGGUUAGCUAAAAGGUGUUCGACGACCUGUUGUUGACCGAGAGUCUCUUGUGUUACGUCGUCGAGAUGACGCUUAGUACGGUUUCUAAGAACCGCCUGUCUAAGCAGCACCCGAGUACGGGGUACCUCCCUACGCCGUUGCUGUGGCGCUCCCCGCUAGUCACGCUGUCUACGCCCUCCGACGACUUAAGCUGGCUCGACUAACUAGGGUCUACGUUCCAAACACUCCCGUAUGGCCAGCAGGCGGUAUGCCUGGUGAACAAGAACCUCGAAGGGAACAACCUCCUCUUUGACCUCUUCAUGUAGCUGCUCCGGAGCCGCUGGCCUAGUACCUCGGUCUUGCGUCAAGCGUAGUGCCUACGGACCAACUUCCUUCCCGACUCCGGAGCGACGUAGUGGUCCCUAAACUUUACCCCGCAGGGACAGGGUGUACUCUUCAUGUUCCUAUUCCACAAGAUACAGACCAAGCUACGCGGCUAGCCUAUAUAAAGGUAGUGCCGGACGAUGUGCGGGCUCACCCUUUUCACCACCUUCUUGGGUCUCUUACAGCUUAACAUAGUCAAAUACCCGUUUCUGUUGCAGGGUAAGGUGUGCCAGUACAAAGGGAGACGAGAUGAACCAUGACCACUUUUGACCUGAGACUACUUCUUAUAAUCACACUGACUUAUAGAGUUGAUACUUAGUCCUUUCAAGAGCUUUUGAUUCCCGUAGCCUCAGAAACCGUUACUGCGGUUUCGGUGUUUAUAAGGACGACUACACACCGCUAUGAUGAACGAAUCAUUAGCAGGACUCCGUAGUCUACGUCAAAAGUGUACCCCUCCAAACGUCUAUUUCGUAUUGUUGCUCGACGAUUUCUUAAACCCGUUGAAGUAGAUAGCUCACGAUUCGAAAUAGCGUUUUGGUCUCCCUCGACCGAUGCCGAGGUAGUAUGGACUUCGUGGAUUACGACUAUAUGUAGGUAACUCAGUCAGCAAUCGUCUUUGACAACCAUUAAACUAAGUCGUCAUAUGACUACGUUACCUGUUCCAGUUUGAUUUUGUUCCCGACUUUUAACGUUACCGGUAGAGAUCACUCCCUUUACGAAUGGAAGUUCUCUCAGUUAAAACCUUCGAAAUGGUUGUUCUAGGUCGAUCAACGCGCUGACACUACUUUUGAAGUCAACCUCAACAGAUGGAAGAGCGAACAAACGAUCUCGGAAAGUACGGCAGGAAGAGUUUUCUACAGAACGUUGUCGACUUAGAGACAGGCUUACUCGUAUAAAGAAAACGGCUACUUUUCCCCCUCUCACUGUUCCGCUUUUCCGGAACCCUAGAGUAUGGUAGUUUGGUGUCCUAACCCUUUUAACACGGAAACAAGUGUCUCAACUUUCUACUACGUCACCUAUCGAAGUCCCUUUGUAAACGUCCGUCAGUCUGGCUUUCUUUGCGUUCCCGAUUAAUUUCUUCGGUUACUUCAACAACGGAUUGACCUUCGACGUUUUGUAAAGAACGUUUCAACUAGUGUUAUGAAUUAGUUUACUGUAACUCUAGGUCUUUACACUCAAGCUUCCUACUUAGUGUUACAUAUAAAAUGACUAAUAAUCACUACUACGUAAGUCUUUUACAUGUAUUUGACUUGAUGUACGACAUCAUGAACCUCAACCUCUACGGAUUUAACCACGUGUACACGACUAGUGGACCCCUCGAUGUAAAAAUCAACACUCAUACUACAUGUAUCAAUUUUUAUUUCCUUUGGAAAUGAAAAGAUAGAUUGGAUUCCUCUCUUUUCUUAGUCGGCAAAUAACACAGUAGUUCGAGUGUCUUGACACCAUUUGCACGAACCCAGCUGACAUAACCAUCACCACAUUGGUAUCCACUACUCGGACCAUAACUAAACGUCUAAUACUACACGGUAUCCAACGAAAACGUACGACGUGUUCACAUAAAUUCGUCCCCGGUAGUUUCCACCUAUUUAACAUACUCUUUAUCCCAAUGGAACUACGAAUUCAUCGAGGUCGAGAAAAUACUUUCCGAUUUUAUAAGUCUUCCCCGUAACGGGUAAACACACUCCUCGAUGAGGUAUCUACGUUUUUAUGGUUAAAACGUACUUUGUUAUAACAUAGUCCUAUAAUAAAAAUCAUUACUAACCUGUAGAGUCUAGGUGGGUGAGCUCAUGUUAUCACAUCACCCCCUCCACCGGCUAACCCGACAGGGUGGAACAGAUUGUAUAUGUCUGGAAACUUAUUAUA